Molecule: ribosomal RNA, 253 nt
Filed under: uncultured bacterium
Lineage: Bacteria
Description: partial 16S ribosomal RNA
Rfam family: Bacterial small subunit ribosomal RNA
Source: RNAcentral
UACGGAGGAUCCGAGCGUUAUCCGGAUUUAUUGGGUUUAAAGGGUGCGUAGGGGGUUUGAUAAGUUAGAGGUGAAAUGUCGGGGCUCAACCCCGAAACUGCCUCUAAUACUGUUGGACUAGAGAAUAGUUGCGGUAGGCGGAAUGUAUGGUGUAGCGGUGAAAUGCUUAGAGAUCAUACAGAACACCGAUUGCGAAGGCAGCUUACCAAACUAUAUCUGACGUUGAGGCACGAAAGCGUGGGUAGCAAACAGG